Long non-coding RNA from Fundulus heteroclitus (mummichog), 144 nucleotides. RefSeq lists it as uncharacterized. Lineage: Eukaryota; Metazoa; Chordata; Actinopteri; Cyprinodontiformes; Fundulidae. The transcript has 3 exons. The record is from RefSeq and is a predicted model, not a curated record.
CUCCCUUAGAUGAAUAAUUAGGGUAGUGUGAAAGAGUAAAGAUGGCAUUCUUUGGUCAUUUAGCCUCACAUUGUCUCAACCCCAUGACCCUUGACCCUUGACCCCAUGACCCUUAGGUGCUCACCCCCCUUUGAAAAAUCCUGG